This 73-nucleotide transfer RNA is filed under the name Bacteroides sp. CAG:462. It matches the Rfam family "tRNA". From Rfam's summary of the family: Transfer RNA (tRNA) molecules are approximately 80 nucleotides in length. Their secondary structure includes four short double-helical elements and three loops (D, anti-codon, and T loops). The record is from Rfam by way of RNAcentral. RNAcentral also lists the same sequence under 1 other name. Lineage: Bacteria; Pseudomonadati; Bacteroidota; Bacteroidia; Bacteroidales; Bacteroidaceae.
GCGGAAGUAGCUCAGUUGGUAGAGCAUUAGCUUCCCAAGCUGAGGGUCGCGGGUUCGAGUCCCGUCUUCCGCU